UGCUGAAGGAUUUUCCUCAAAUAAAUGCGUUGUCUUGGGCUUUCCUUCAGGAGGGAUCGGAUCAGGAGGCAGCAUUCUGUCCAGAGCGAUAGAAGCGAGUCCGAUUAUUACCUUCAACUUUACACCGGCUGUCUGUGUGUUAAGCUGGAAGAUUACACUAUUCUAUAAAUUGUUGUGAUGAACGGCAUCUUACCGUUGGACAAGCGCGGCUUAGACCAGACGUCUUCUUCUAUCCUUCGCCUGUCUCGUGCUUCUGGAAGGCGUCCACACACCAGCAGGAAUAAGAGCACUCCCAGAGACCACACCGUCGCUGGUUUGCCGUGGUACUUGCCCUCUGUGAGGUACUCAGGCGGGCGGUAGUCGCGAGUGCCUGCAGGAAGAAGAGUCGUCUGAUGGGUGAAUACCAGAGCAUGUGCUAAAAACAUCUGGUGUGUUUCAUUUCCAAAACGCUCCUCAAAUGUGAGAUCUGGUUUAUAUGACACCGACUGAACCCAAACUACAGGAUUGAUUGAUGAUUCAUACCACAGAAUGUUUCAUAGCCAGAGUCCCGCAGGAGAUCCCCGCACCCGAAGUCGAUCAGUUUGACCUCCAGAGUUUCGGUGUUGAUCAGCAGGUUCUCCAGCUUAAUAUCCCGGUGAAACACUCCACGGCGACAGCACACGUGAGCCGCCACUGUUGCCUGCGCCAUAAUAACCCGCGCUGUGUCCUCAUGUAGGAUUCCUUCGUGAUCGUUCCAGUACUCCCACAGAUCUGUACAGGGUGCGGGACGCUCCAAGACCAUGAUGUAUCGGUCCGGCUGGUCCUGCCAGUCCAGCAGCUCGAUGAUCUCGGAGACUUUGGGGCCGCUGUUAGCAAGGGUCAACAGGCCGACCUCUAAUGGGACGGGUGCGGGAUGACCAGGCUGGAACAAAGAUCAUUGUUAUAUGAAGGUGUUGUCAUUAUCUUUACAUACUUUCAUUUCAGAAACACACAGUGAGUGUAGCCGACUUACAAUGUGGAUGUAUUUCGUGUCCUUCGGCUUACUGGCAAUUUUCACCGCCAC
Molecule: non-coding RNA, 1042 nt
Organism: Pimephales promelas (fathead minnow)
Lineage: Eukaryota; Metazoa; Chordata; Actinopteri; Cypriniformes; Leuciscidae
Source: RefSeq, a predicted model, not a curated record